Molecule: ribosomal RNA, 433 nt
Filed under: uncultured bacterium
Lineage: Bacteria
Description: partial 16S ribosomal RNA
Rfam family: Bacterial small subunit ribosomal RNA
Source: RNAcentral
AACGAACGCUGGCGGCAUGCCUAACACAUGCAAGUCGAACGAGACCUUCGUGUCUAGUGGCGCACGGGUGCGUAACGCGUGGUAACCUGCCCUUAGGUUCGGAAUAACUCCCCGAAAGGGGUGCUAAUACCGGAUAAUGUCUUCGGACCAAAGAUUUAUCGCCUUUGGAUGGGGCCGCGUUGGAUUAGCUAGUUGGUAGGGUAAAAGCCUACCAAGGCGACGAUCCAUAGCUGGUCUGUGAGGAUGAUCAGCCGCACUGGGACUGAGACACGGCCCAGACUCCUACGGGAGGCAGCAGUGGGGAAUCUUGGACAAUGGGCGAAAGCCUGCUCCAGCGAUGCCGCGUGAGUGAUCAAGGCGUUAGGGUUGUAAAGCUCUUUUACCCGGGAUGAUAAUGACAGUACCGGGAGAAUAAGCACCGGCUAACUCCGUG